RNAcentral lists this ribosomal RNA (253 nucleotides) under uncultured bacterium. RNAcentral describes it as "partial 16S ribosomal RNA". It matches the Rfam family "Bacterial small subunit ribosomal RNA", at positions 524 to 776 of the family's 1533-position model. The record is from RNAcentral.
UACAGAGGGGGCAAGCGUUGUUCGGAAUUACUGGGCGUAAAGGGCGCGUAGGUGGCCUUCUAAGUCGAACGUGAAAUCCCUGGGCUCAACCCAGGAACUGCGUCCGAGACUGGGAGGCUUGAAUCCGGGAGAGGGAUGCGGAAUUCCAGGUGUAGCGGUGAAAUGCGUAGAUAUCUGGAGGAACACCGGUGGCGAAGGCGGCAUCCUGGACCAGAACUGACGAUCAGGCUCGAAAGCGUGGGGAGCAAACAGG